CCUACGGGAGGCAGCAGUGGGGAAUAUUGGGCAAUGGAGGCAACUCUGACCCAGCAACGUCGCGUGAAUGAUGACGGUCUUCGGAUUUUUAAGUUCUGUGAUGCGGGAUGAACACAAUGACGGUACCCCAAUAGCAAGCCACGGCUAACUACGUGCCAGCGGCCGCGGUAAUACGUAGGUGGCAAGCGUUAUCCGGAAUGACUGGGCGUAAAGGGUGCGUAGGGGGUUAAGUAAGUUGGCGGGGUAAUUCCAGGGCUCAACCUCGGCGCUACCGCCAAAACUAUUAGACUAGAGUGCAGGAGGGGUAAGUGGAAUUCGUGGUGUAGCGGUGGAAUGCGUAGAUAUUAGGAGGAAC
This 355-nucleotide ribosomal RNA is filed under the name uncultured bacterium. RNAcentral's name for it is "partial 16S ribosomal RNA". It matches the Rfam family "Bacterial small subunit ribosomal RNA", at positions 338 to 707 of the family's 1533-position model. The record is from RNAcentral.